CCUACGGGGGGCAGCAGUGAGGAAUAUUGGGCAAUGGCCGUAAGGCUGAACCAGCCAAGUCGCGUGAAGGAAGAAGGAUUUAUGGUCUUUAAACUCUUUUUAUAGGGGAAUAAAGGUAUACACGUGUGGAUAUUUGCAUGUACCCUAUGAAUAAGCAUCGGCUAACUCCGUGCCAGCAGCCGCGGUAAGACGGAGGAUCCGAGGGUUAUCCGGUUUGAUUGGGCUUAAAGGGUGCGUAGGCGGUUUGAUAAGUUAGAGGUGAAAUGUCGGGGCUCAACCCCGAAACUGCCUGUAAUACUGUUAGACUAGAGAAUAGUUGCGGAAGGCGGAAUGUAUGGUGUAGCGGUGAAAUGCGUAGAGAUCAUACAGAACACCGAUUGCGAAGGCGGCUUUCCGGACUAUAACUGACGUUGAGGCACGAAAGCGUGGGUAGCAAACAGGAUUAGAUACCCCUGUAGUC
Molecule: ribosomal RNA, 460 nt
Filed under: uncultured bacterium
Lineage: Bacteria
Description: partial 16S ribosomal RNA
Rfam family: Bacterial small subunit ribosomal RNA
Source: RNAcentral